Molecule: long non-coding RNA, 664 nt
Organism: Spinacia oleracea (spinach)
Lineage: Eukaryota; Viridiplantae; Streptophyta; Magnoliopsida; Caryophyllales; Amaranthaceae
Exons: 4
Source: RefSeq, a predicted model, not a curated record
UCCUUUCACAAAACGCGGUUCUUCUCUUCUUCUCCACCUUCUUCAAUUCUCUGAUCUUCUCAGUAUUGCUAUUCAAUUCACAGUCACAGGGUCACACCGACCUCGCAAUUCUCUGUAAUCCACCGGCGAUGACCCCAAUCGACAAGAAAAACCACCAAUGCGAACCUCCUCACCGGCAAAGAAAAUCUACAUCCCCUUGAGUUCAUCUUGUCCAAAGAAUGUAAUUAAUCUCUUGGGGUUGGUCUUCUGUAAUCAAUAUUUACAAAAGUGGAUUAAAGUGAAGGAAUUCUAGUACCUUUUCUCCUCAACAACUACCCUAUACACACUACCUAGAUGAGGAGACUACCACAUCUGGUGCUCUAGCAAGAGGAGUUUACUUGGCAAAGCUCGGGUUUUCAAAACUCCAAGGGAGGGUCCCUUUACCAAAGAGGAGUUGGAUGAAGUUCGAGACAAGUGGGCUACUUACUUCAACGAUUGUGAACUACCCUCAGUGUAAUAAAUAGAGCAGCCUUGUAGUUAUCCGUGACUCUUACAUUACAUUUUUAUUUAUAGAUUUAAUUAAUUGCAUUUGAAUUAAUUCGGUAAUAUUAUUGGAAAUUUGAAAUUUAUAUCAUUUUUGAGGAAUGUCAAGCUGAUGUUUGGUGAAAUAAAAUUCUAUAAAUUA